This 132-nucleotide small RNA is filed under the name Escherichia coli. RNAcentral describes it as "RtT sRNA". It matches the Rfam family "RtT RNA". Rfam says of the family: This family represents a bacterial cis-regulatory element known as RtT RNA. The exact function of RtT is unknown although it is thought that it may be involved in changing the cellular response in relation to amino acid starvation. The record is from RNAcentral. Lineage: Bacteria; Pseudomonadati; Pseudomonadota; Gammaproteobacteria; Enterobacterales; Enterobacteriaceae.
AUUCUGCCCAAGCGGGGAAGGAUGAGAAGCUUCGACUAAGGCUCGACUCGAGCGCCAGCGAGAGAAGCGUUGCCGCAGGCAACGACCCGUAGAGCGAAGCGCGCAGCGUUGAGUAAUCCUUCCCCACCACCA